UGGGGAAUAUUGGACAAUGGGCGAAAGCCUGAUCCAGCCAUGCCGCGUGAGUGAUGAAGGCCCUAGGGUUGUAAAGCUCUUUCACCGGGGAAGAUAAUGACGGUACCCGGAGAAGAAGCCCCGGCUAACUUCGUGCCAGCAGCCGCGGUAAUACGAAGGGGGCUAGCGUUGUUCGGAAUUACUGGGCGUAAAGCGCACGUAGGCGGACUAUUAAGUCAGGGGUGAAAUCCCGGGGCUCAACCCCGGAACUGCCUUUGAUACUGGUAGUCUAGAGUUCGAGAGAGGUGAGUGGAAUUCCGAGUGUAGAGGUGAAAUUCGUAGAUAUUCGGAGGAACACCAGUGGCGAAGGCGGCUCACUGGCUCGAUACUGACGCUGAGGUGCGAAAGCGUGGGGAGCAAACA
This 402-nucleotide ribosomal RNA is filed under the name uncultured prokaryote. Its description in RNAcentral is "bacterial SSU rRNA". It matches the Rfam family "Bacterial small subunit ribosomal RNA", at positions 355 to 774 of the family's 1533-position model. The record is from RNAcentral.